Molecule: unclassified non-coding RNA, 321 nt
Filed under: Hevea brasiliensis (rubber tree)
Lineage: Eukaryota; Viridiplantae; Streptophyta; Magnoliopsida; Malpighiales; Euphorbiaceae
Source: RNAcentral
AUGGGUGAGGUCAUGCAUGCUGUGAUCUCCACCGCUAGUGUUGUGGUAUACUUCUGCACCUUUGUUAUGGGCUUUGGUCCAAUCCCAAAUAUCCUCUGCUCUGAGAUAUUUCCCACCAGCGUUCGUGGAAUCUGUAUUGCUAUAUGUGCUCUUACUUUUUGGAUCGGAGACAUCAUUGUCACCUACUCGCUCCCUGUCAUGCUCAACUCCAUUGGACUUGGAGGUGUCUUCGCCAUCUAUGCUGUCGUGUGUGCUGUGGCUUGGGUAUUCGUUUUCUUGAAAGUUCCUGAAACAAAGGGCAUGCCCCUUGAAGUCAUUACA